GAUGAACGCUGGCGGCGUGCCUAAUACAUGCAAGUCGAGCGAACAGACGAGGAGCUUGCUCCUCUGACGUUAGCGGCGGACGGGUGAGUAACACGUGGAUAACCUACCUAUAAGACUGGGAUAACUUCGGGAAACCGGAGCUAAUACCGGAUAAUAUAUUGAACCGCAUGGUUCAAUAGUGAAAGACGGUUUUGCUGUCACUUAUAGAUGGAUCCGCGCCGCAUUAGCUAGUUGGUAAGGUAACGGCUUAACAAGGCAACGAUGCGUAGCCGACCUGAGAGGGUGAUCGGACACACUGGAACUGAGACACGGUCCAGACUCCUACGGGAGGCAGCAGUAGGGAAUCUUCCGCAAUGGGCGAAAGCCUGACGGAGCAACGCCGCGUGAGUGAUGAAGGUCUUCGGAUCGUAAAACUCUGUUAUUAGGGAAGAACAAAUGUGUAAGUAACUAUGCACGUCUUGACGGUACCUAAUCAGAAAGCCACGGCUAACUACGUG
RNAcentral lists this ribosomal RNA (497 nucleotides) under uncultured bacterium. RNAcentral's name for it is "partial 16S ribosomal RNA". It matches the Rfam family "Bacterial small subunit ribosomal RNA", at positions 28 to 507 of the family's 1533-position model. The record is from RNAcentral.